RNAcentral lists this ribosomal RNA (494 nucleotides) under uncultured Sphingobacteriales bacterium. RNAcentral's name for it is "bacterial SSU rRNA". It matches the Rfam family "Bacterial small subunit ribosomal RNA", at positions 887 to 1382 of the family's 1533-position model. Lineage: Bacteria; Pseudomonadati; Bacteroidota; Sphingobacteriia; Sphingobacteriales. The record is from RNAcentral.
CGCCGCUCAGAAACUCAAAUGAAUUGACGGGGGCCGCCACAAGCGGUAGGAGCAUGUGGUUUAAUUCGAUGAUACGCGAGGAACCUUACCUGGGCUCAAAUGUAUGUUGACGUAUUCUGAAAGGGAUACUUCUUCGGACAAUAUACAAGGUGCUGCAUGGUUGUCGUCAGCUCGUGCCGUGAGGUGUCGGGUUAAGUCCCAUAACGAGCGCAACCCCUAUCAUUAGUUGCCAUCAGGUCAAGCUGGGGACUCUAAUGAAACUGCCUACGCAAGUAGUGAGGAAGGUGGGGAUGACGUCAAAUCAGCACGGCCCUUACGUCCAGGGCUACACACGUGCUACAAUGGCCGGUACAAAGGGCAGCUACCUGGUGACAGGAUGCUAAUCUCAAAAGCCGGUCUCAGUUCGGAUCGGAGUCUGCAACCCGACUCCGUGAAGCUGGAAUCGCUAGUAAUCGCGCAUCAGCCAUGGCGCGGUGAAUACGUUCCCGGGCCUU